This 239-nucleotide unclassified non-coding RNA is filed under the name soil metagenome. RNAcentral describes it as "partial internal transcribed spacer 1". The record is from RNAcentral.
CCAAUGAUUGGGAACCAGUUGAGGUUGAUAGAUCUCCUGGUUGCUAAAAUCAAAUACCCAUCUUUGUGCACCUUUUUUAUGUCUCUGGUGGUCGCAAGAGAAGUCUCUUAUUUGGAGGAUCUCUUCUAGUUCAUUCUGAUCCUCGGACAAAUGAAUGAAGCCACCAAAUGGUUGCUAUAACACACUUUUUUGCCGUCCAAAAUAUCUGUCUAACAUUGAUUUGUGUAAAAUACAUAAAA